CGGGCCGUGGCGCAGCUUGGUAGCGCACCUGCUUUGGGAGCAGGGGGUCGCCGGUUCGAAUCCGGCCGGCCCGACCA
RNAcentral lists this transfer RNA (77 nucleotides) under Actinomycetes bacterium. RNAcentral's name for it is "Actinobacteria bacterium tRNA-Pro". It matches the Rfam family "tRNA". From Rfam's summary of the family: Transfer RNA (tRNA) molecules are approximately 80 nucleotides in length. Their secondary structure includes four short double-helical elements and three loops (D, anti-codon, and T loops). RNAcentral also lists the same sequence under 2 other names. Lineage: Bacteria; Bacillati; Actinomycetota; Actinomycetes. The record is from RNAcentral.